AAGCAGGUGAGAAUUUCUCCCUCAAGGGUCGGAUGAGUUAUAAGCAUUUGAAAAGAGGAAAUUUAGGGUUAAUUUUCCAACUCGCCAUGACAAUGGGGACUACUGAAGAGGAGAAAAUCCUAUUACUGUAUGGGACAGUGGGCGAGAGGUAAAGAUUAGCCCUCAGCUAACUACUGCCAGUCCUCCUCUUUUUGCUGAGGAAGCCUGACUCUGAGCUAACAUCCGUGCCCAUCUUACUCUAGUUUAUACGUGGGACGCCUACCACAGCAUGGCUGCCAAGCAGUGCCAUGUCCGCACCUGGGAUCCGAACCAGCAAACCCCAGGCCGCCGAGAAGUGGAACGUGUGAACUUAACCGCUGCGCCACCGGGCCGGCGCCCUGAACUGACAAUUUUUAACGUAUUUUGGAUAACUAAAGUCAAUCAUCAGAGCUUUUCUUGGAGCAAGGUCAUUACUUAUUGAUUCUACUCCAUUGGAGACUUCAGAGAAGCAACUGAAUAAACAACGCAAAAGGGGAGACAAGAGAGAGAGACAUGUCUUCACUAUUUUGGAGAAGAAGAUUGAGGUGUGGCCAUAGCCAAAAGGAUCAGCCUCGGCAAGACUCUUCCUCAUGCAGCAUCCACUAAGGGACCCUGCUUCGCUAACAGAUCAUUCCUGGGAGAUGAUUCCUCCUUCUUCCUCGUUUCUUCUGGGUCCAGGAAAUGAAAACAAACACAGUAAACUACACACUUAAGGACAGAAGGAGAAAAUUCUUCACCUGUUGGCUCAUUUUAGCAAAAAUCAACUCCUUUGAUUCAAGAAUGUUUGAAGCCUGGGAUAAUUUUGAUUGAACCAGAGUUGAAGUCUAUUUCCACAUUCUCCUGCCUGACUUGCUGAAGUUCUGGUAGAUAUUUUGAAAACUGGAUGAAGAAACGAAUCAAUGAAACUGUGGCCCUAAGACAAAGGAUCUGAAAGAGCACAAGGACCUUCUCCUGACUUCCAAAAAUUAUUAGAGCUGCUUCUUUCUUAAAAUAGACCAUAUGCAUCAC
Molecule: long non-coding RNA, 1026 nt
Filed under: Equus caballus (horse)
Lineage: Eukaryota; Metazoa; Chordata; Mammalia; Perissodactyla; Equidae
Description: lncRNA (ENSECAG00000031548.3)
Source: RNAcentral